This is a long non-coding RNA of Gymnodraco acuticeps, 394 nucleotides long. RefSeq lists it as uncharacterized. The record is from RefSeq and is a predicted model, not a curated record. Lineage: Eukaryota; Metazoa; Chordata; Actinopteri; Perciformes; Bathydraconidae. The transcript is spliced from 3 exons.
GACGCUGCUUGGCACCAUGCCAGCGCACCUGCUAUUUUGCGCACCUGCUAUUUAAGUGGAGGAGACAAAUCUGCUCCCUCCCCCUCCGCUUCUCCUUUGUGGCCGCGUGGAUUGUUUGGCGUGGCAGCUCGCGCAUCACACUCUCUACCAGACAGCUGACGCCCGGUGCGUUUGAGGAGGAUUGGCUCCUCCGGAGGUUCCCGGUCUUGCAGUGUUGCAACUAUUGGUGCUGUGGGCUCGAGGCGGCAAACCCAAUCCCUGGUGGUGGUGUUCUUCACGUGUCCGUUUUGUUUGGUGUGCAGUGUCACGGGUGAUUUUGAUUUGACCCCUUCCUCCCCGUUUUGUUAAUUGCCGCCGUGGUAAGCCCCAGCACUGUCCUUCUCCCUCCUCCCUG